CCUACGGGAGGCAGCAGUGAGGAAUAUUGGUCAAUGGGCGCGAGCCUGAACCAGCCAAGUAGCGUGCAGGAUGACUGCCCUACGGGUUGUAAACUUCUUUUAUACAGGAAUAAAGUUAGACACGUGUACCUUUUUGUAAGUACUUUAUGAAUAAGGAUCGGCUAACUCCGUGCCAGCAGCCGCGGUAAUACGGAGGAUCCGAGCGUUAUCCGGAUUUAUUGGGUUUAAAGGGAGCGUAGAUGGGUUGUUAAGUUAGGUGUGAAAGUUUGCGGCGUAACAGGAAAAUUGCCAUUGAUACUGGCAGUCUUGAGUACAGUUGAGGUAGGCGGAAUUCGUGGUGUAGCGGUGAAAUGCUUAGAUAUCACGAAGAACUCCGAUUGCGAAGGCAGCUUACUAAACUGCCACUGACAUUGAUGCUCGAAAGUGUGGGUAUCAAACAGGAUUAGAUACCCGUGUAGUC
RNAcentral lists this ribosomal RNA (460 nucleotides) under uncultured bacterium. RNAcentral's name for it is "partial 16S ribosomal RNA". It matches the Rfam family "Bacterial small subunit ribosomal RNA", at positions 338 to 795 of the family's 1533-position model. The record is from RNAcentral.